GCGUGUGACUGCGUACCUUUUGUAUAAUGGGUCAGCGACUUAUAUUCUGUAGCAAGGUUAACCGAAUAGGGGAGCCGAAGGGAAACCGAGUCUUAACUGGGCGUUAAGUUGCAGGGUAUAGACCCGAAACCCGGUGAUCUAGCCAUGGGCAGGUUGAAGGUUGGGUAACACUAACUGGAGGACCGAACCGACUAAUGUUGAAAAAUUAGCGGAUGACUUGUGGCUGGGGGUGAAAGGCCAAUCAAACCGGGAGAUAGCUGGUUCUCCCCGAAAGCUAUUUAGGUAGCGCCUCGUGAAUUCAUCUCCGGGGGUAGAGCACUGUUUCGGCAAGGGGGUCAUCCCGACUUACCAACCCGAUGCAAACUGCGAAUACCGGAGAAUGUUAUCACGGGAGACACACGGCGGGUGCUAACGUCCGUCGUGAAGAGGGAAACAACCCAGACCGCCAGCUAAGGUCCCAAAGUCAUGGUUAAGUGGGAAACGAUGUGGGAAGGCCCAGACAGCCAGGAUGUUGGCUUAGAAGCAGCCAUCAUUUAAAGAAAGCGUAAUAGCUCACUGGUCGAGUCGGCCUGCGCGGAAGAUGUAACGGGGCUAAACCAUGCACC
RNAcentral lists this ribosomal RNA (605 nucleotides) under Escherichia coli. RNAcentral's name for it is "partial 23S ribosomal RNA". It matches the Rfam family "Bacterial large subunit ribosomal RNA", at positions 589 to 1195 of the family's 2925-position model. Lineage: Bacteria; Pseudomonadati; Pseudomonadota; Gammaproteobacteria; Enterobacterales; Enterobacteriaceae. The record is from RNAcentral.